Molecule: long non-coding RNA, 5606 nt
Organism: Setaria italica (foxtail millet)
Lineage: Eukaryota; Viridiplantae; Streptophyta; Magnoliopsida; Poales; Poaceae
Exons: 2
Source: RefSeq, a predicted model, not a curated record
UCCCCCAAAGCUAUCCGAGCACCGACACGCCCACAGCGCUACCUGACGGGGACCCGCCGGCGGGCAGCCGCGCCGCGAUCCCCGCCCAUCCCUUCCCCAACUGCCCUCUGAACCCCUGCAACCUCUGGAGCUCCGCGACCGCAGGCCGCCAUCCCUGAAUUAUUGGGGGGGCCUUCUGAGCCGCCGGAACCGUUCGGUCUGUGCAGGUGAAAAGCUCCGAUCUUUCUUGCUAUGAAAUGUUAAUUAGCCUCGUGAUAUUGGGAAAUAUGUUGUAUAUUGUGUGUUGAGUAGGAAUCGGGAGACAAAGCGACCUGAUCUGUAGAACAAAGCGCCAAACUCUCUCUUUUUUAGGCUAAAGGAAUGGGGCCAGAUUCGAUCCCAUGACUUUGUCAGUCUGAUUGGAAUGGCACCGUAUCCUGCGUUGGUUCGUCGAAAUAAAAGUGUUGUUAUACCGUAGAAAAUGCAGAGUAAUGAUUAGUAUGGAAUCAUUUCUUCAAUCAUUGUUUCACAUGCUGAGGAGGAAUUUAUAAUAAGCCCCGCACAUAGAUUGGGUAUCUCUACAGGCACAUUGCACGUGGUGUGUGUCUUUUAUUUGCCCUGCUAAUGCGUAUUAGCGGUUAAUUUCAGCUCUGGUUUUGAUGUCAACGAGCAAGGUUGCGUGUGUGGAAACAGGGGAGAGAAUUGUCAACCAUAACUAGUGCAUGUCAUGAAGGAGUCCACUGUCUACAAGACAGUAUGGUAGAAUUGGCAGUCAAUUUCGGCCUCAGAGCUGAAUUCCGCACACAUUUGUUGCAUCAGGCUGAUAACCAGCAAAUUCAGGAAGAAAUGGCUAUUUUAAUUUCUUACUGUUUUGCUACCGUAGAGUUUAUAGCACUAUAAUCAAUAUAUAUUCUUGCCUUUGUUGUAUUUUGUGUGCUUGUAGCCUUCUAUGUUUGUGAAGUUGAGACUGAGUAUCACGCCCUUUCUUUGUCCAGGUCCUGAUUUGAAUGUCGGAAUGAGAGAAUUCCAGUUUCAGUUUCUUUAACAGUAAUGGCUACAUUAUUUUAACUCAUCCAAGCAAUUUAGGUGCAUGGUCAUUCAGCUUUUAGAGAAUGAAUUUCUGAUUAUCUUACUUUUGUCUUCAGUUUUUCUGCAAUUGGAUCAGCAGCUCCAUCUUGAGUAUUGAUUGAUGACGACAUCAGUAAAUAAAAGUGUCAUUAAUGAUACUGAGAUUCUGUUUCAUCUAGUUGCAGUAGUUGUGUGUUUCCGACCAUUUGGUUCAAAGUCUCUUUGGACUAACCCCUUUUUUUCCUUGGGUUGUCGGUUCUUGGGUUAUUCUUUCAAACUGACCUUUUGGUGCUGUCAAUGUCGUUUUGGCUUUUCUGACUGAUUUUUGUCUUAUUGUGUACCUUAUUGGUUUUCUACUAGCAAAGGCUUAAAAUAUUUGUAAACUCUGUAACUUUGCUGCUUUUUUCUCAUUGUAAUGACAAACAGGAUUACAGGCAGUUGCUUUAUGACUUCUGUAUUCUGAAUGUUCAGACUUCUGUCAUUAGUUUGAGUCAGUCAGUCACUACAAUAGUUUUUGAUAGCUGUACAGUUCUUCAGUCUCCCAGGGCCUUUUAGGUUGCAACUUAUUUCAUGUAUUAACGUAUUGACCCAUGGAGUGGAGUGGAGUAAAUCAUUACUGGGAUGCUUAAAUGGCAUAGAAUUCGUAAAAGAUACCUUUCAGUGCUUUCAGUUGGAUGACAGAUACUCAUUGCCUGUAAAUGGUGCUCCUUUGAUGUCUGUUUGGUACUGUUGAUAGGCAUUGGCAUCGUUUAUCAUUUCCAGUCUUUUUCUUUCUAGUUUCUGCUAGACCGUGCAUCAUGCAAUGUGAUAUAUUGAGCACUAAGUUUUGUUAGGUGCCGGCAAUGUAUCAAACUUUCAGUGACAGAGAACCGUGAAACCUUUCCUUUUCUCAGGUAGGAAACCAGAACUGUUCAAGCAUGUAUUUAUCAGCAAAUUUUUCUCCCAACAACAUUUAUCCUGAUAAAUGAAAUUUGGAGAGGUUGUGCUACUGUUCAUCCACUAGGAACAGUCUGACAGGCCGUCUUACCGAAAAUUUGAAAGGAAGGAAUUAGCAACAGGGGAAAAAACCUUUCAGCAUAAUGGAACUAUUUCUUAUUUUUCUGAACCUCGCAUGCAGGACCCUAUCCUGUCAAUGUUGUCAUUUCCUUUACACACAGUCCAUUCCUAUUAGACCUGCUUGUCACGAACAUGCCAGCAAUAAUCAUACCAUGGAUUUCAUGUAUCUACUGGUUCCUAAGAUACCUUGGGUAGCUUAGUUUACCUACCUUUUCUUUGCUGAAAAGGUUACUGGCAUUUAUUUCUCAGAAGAAAAAUUGAUUUAGAGCAGAGCGAUUUAUGUCGGAUCAUAAUUGGUUUAACAACUAGGUUAGUCAUUUCAUUAUUGCUUUUGGUGAUCUUAAGUAUCAUCUUCGUACAUGGGGAGGAAAUAUGAAAGUAACCCUGCGUAAAUUUUUACUUUUAGUGGCCUAUUUAUAUGUAGAUAAUUGAAAAACAACCUAACAAGAAUCAUAAGAGACUAGUUGAUGAAAAGUUUUUCGCAAAUUAUGUCAUCCCCCUUAACUCGAAUGAAACUCUUGCAAAUGAGGUUGUCGUACAGAAACUGAUCUGAAACUAGUUUGUGCGAGGCUGCAUGGAGUAGUAUUUAAAUCCUAGUAGUGUUGUUUAGUUUUGAAAACCCUGUACAGAACCGUCUUCAAUUUUUUUUGAGGAUGCACCACCAUUUACAUCUGUGUAUUUUUUUUCUUCUGUUAUUUUGCAUGUCCUUUCCUUCCGUUUCUGAAAUGUUCUAAGCAGCAGUGUAUUUGGUUGAUUAAAUUUGCAGUGUAGUUGCUCGUUUUCCUUUUUGUUUUUUUUGACUAAACAGGAGGGGAGGCUCGGUGCAGUUGCUGAUCUCAAGGUAGCACAGCAAUUCCUUGAAAAGAAAAGCAGGAGUCUACUUAUCAGGGAGAUGCAACAGUUUUUCUUCGCAUUAUAGCAGCUGCAAGCCUCAACCAAUGGUGUUUCUUUUCGCAUAAAAGGUGAUCAACUUGUAAUUGCCUCUAAAUUUUUGUUAUAUCUUGCUUUCAUGUCCUUGCUAUUCUAAGUUGCAGGAUCGGAAUGUUUUCUGCCUUAAAUUAACGCCGAACCACAUUGUACCAUCUGUCGGUGUGAGAUCCUGGGUGCAAAUGCACCUUGAUACCCUCCGAUGGCGGCUUAAGUACCAAUUCUGUUCAUGUUUUAGUGGUGGUUGGACAUGCUUAAAGGCACCUCCAAGUGUGUCACCUGUUCAUCUCGCUGUCAGACCUUAUUCUGCAUGCCCAAGCCUGCCUUUCCCUCUCUGACGUGUCACUGUUGCAGAUACUCUGCACUCCGGUUCAUUAUGCCUGCAUGCCCCCGGCUGGUGCCUUGACUUGUUAGUAAUAGCUUGCACCUCCCUUUCCGGUGAUGCUGACCUCCUACUGCCCCUUUGCACUCCCUUUCCAUCCCUUUCCAUGACGCUGACCUGCUACUGGAACACUAUCAGAUGCUCCUUCAAGGCACUUCUUGUGUGCCACAUUGCAACAUCGUUAGGUCAGCUCGAGCAUAAUUUUAUCGUGCACUUGCUGCGGUUUCCUUGUUGUCUAUGUGUUGUUUCUCUCCGUUUUUUCACACAUUAGGCUGUAUGGGUCGUGUUCCUCUGUUUUUUCUGGUCUAAAAGUUAGUCACCCUAUAUGAGGCCAGACUCCAGGACAAAGGUCUGAAACUCCCGUGAUAAUAAACUAGGGAAUUGGAGUUGUUGCAUCUCCAAACAAAUAGGGCCUGUUGGAUAGGUGCGGACUGGAGCCAAUCCCUUGGGAUUGGCGAGGAGAAUGUACUAAUUUCCCUGCCAAUCAGAGGAGAACUGGUCUAACCGCAGUGUAUCCAAACAAGCUUUCAGCGUCAGCAACUGCUGUACAAUAUCAUGGAACUGUUUGUUCCAUCUUGUCAAAGGUAAUAAGUUACUGUACAUUAUGGUUUUGUAGCUUGUUCUUGUUGGUUUAACUGUCUUAUUAGCGACAACCAUCCUGAACGGCUUAGUCUUUUCCUUCCAGAUAUCUUCUACCAACUUCUUUUUCUCUAUUAUUAUUAUUAUUAUUAUUUUUAUUUCACUUGAUUUCUCCAGAGAUUGCAAUUUUUUAUGUAUGCAGGGAAAACAUUUUGUUCUUGUAACAUUGCUUAUCAGUAUAUGGUUAUCAUGAUUUUCUAAGGGAAUGCUUGUAAUAAUGUGGAACAAUUUCAGCAGAUUCACAAAUUUAGCCAUGGAGUCAAUUUUUUAAACUUCCAUAGAUUCAUGUCAAAAUACAUAAAACAUAACAAGUAAGGAUGUGUUUUUUUAAAAAAGAAACUUCAGUGUUUACAGCAUCAUAAGUUGAAACUUUUGUCAUAUUAUACUAUAAAAAGCACUAGUUGUGUGGAAAUACUUGAUUAAUCUCCACUGUCAAUUGUAUUUAUAAUUGGUCCCCUCCUACCAUCAAAGAUUUAAAUAGUGCUCCACCCUCAACAAAUUAUGAUCCCAUAUCUCCUCUUAAAACUAAGGAGCUGCUCUGCUCUGUAGGUUACACAAUCAACUUGGAAGCAAAUAGUUUAGGCGCAUUGUUUCUUCACUACAGUAGUGCAAACUUUUGUCAACUUUGUGGUGGUUAACUGUUAUAUUGUGUUAAACAUGUAACUUUAUGAUGUCAAGGUAAUAUGAUGUUUUAUAUCCAUUCGAUUAGUUACUAAAUAAGAUUGGAAAGAUGUAGGGAUUCCAUGACGAUUGUGAAGAGGAUAUCCUCGCUGUUUUCUUACAGGACACAUCCUAGGGUUAGUUAAAUCAGAAAUAUUUUGUGCUUGUUCUGAUGUUAGGGGAUUUGAACCAAGUUACUAGAUUUUCCAAAUAUUUAGGGCUGUCCUAUAUCCAGAGUAACUCAUGCAACCCCCCUUGUAAAACUGCCUGAAUGUUUCCAUUGUGAAAUGGAAAUGGAGUUAAGCCUGGUUCGGAAAAGAAAAGCAAUACCCCGGUACCUCCAACUGGGAGUAGGACAUAUCUCGCAGGCCCAAAAUCUAAUCUGCUGAUGAAAGGGGGACAACACAUUUAUACAGCGCAAUUAUAAUUCUGCUGAAAUUUCGUGGAACGAUAGCAAUUGGAAAUCCAUCUAUUAAGAUCUAGCUAGAUAUUGCGUCGCCGAUCGACCAAACGCCACUUGGAUGAGAGCAUCAUCGCCUUCACCUAACAAGGAAGCAACAGCAACACCGAUGUAUGAUGAUCAGAAGUAGUAGAUAUGCAGAAUUAGAGCUAGCUCCAACCAAAAGCGGCAGUUGAUAGAGAAGAAUCAGUCGGAAGGGGUCCAUGAGUGUACUUUUCUAGCUCCAGAGAAUACCCCUCUCUCAAAAUGUGAGGCCUGUGACGUUUCUAGAUGGAUGGCGCCUAAUUCUGAGGCAUCAUGUGAUGGCAAGGCUGAUAUGCAAAGUACAAAAUGUGUAAUGCACAUGAGGCCGGCCGGAGAAAGUGAUGUAUACGUGAUUGGGAUGUGUGUGGAAAGCUCCCCAUCUCCAUAAACUUAAUUAGCUACAUUGUUCAA